Molecule: ribosomal RNA, 871 nt
Filed under: uncultured bacterium
Lineage: Bacteria
Description: bacterial SSU rRNA
Rfam family: Bacterial small subunit ribosomal RNA
Source: RNAcentral
CAUGCAAGUCGAACGGAGCUGUUUUCUCUGAAGUUUUCGGAUGGAAGAGAGUUCAGCUUAGUGGCGAACGGGUGAGUAACACGUGAGCAACCUGCCUUUCAGUGGGGGACAACAUUUGGAAACGAAUGCUAAUACCGCAUAAGACCACAGUGUCGCAUGGCACAGGGGUCAAAGGAUUUAUCCGCUGAAAGAUGGGCUCGCGUCCGAUUAGCUAGAUGGUGAGGUAACGGCCCACCAUGGCGACGAUCGGUAGCCGGACUGAGAGGUUGAACGGCCACAUUGGGACUGAGACACGGCCCAGACUCCUACGGGAGGCAGCAGUGGGGAAUAUUGCACAAUGGGGGAAACCCUGAUGCAGCGACGCCGCGUGGAGGAAGAAGGUCUUCGGAUUGUAAACUCCUGUCCCAGGGGACGAUAAUGACGGUACCCUGGGAGGAAGCACCGGCUAACUACGUGCCAGCAGCCGCGGUAAAACGUAGGGUGCAAGCGUUGUCCGGAAUUACUGGGUGUAAAGGGAGCGCAGGCGGAUUGGCAAGUUGGGAGUGAAAUCUAUGGGCUCAACCCAUAAAUUGCUUUCAAAACUGUCAGUCUUGAGUGGUGUAGAGGUAGGCGGAAUUCCCGGUGUAGCGGUGGAAUGCGUAGAUAUCGGGAGGAACACCAGUGGCGAAGGCGGCCUACUGGGCACUAACUGACGCUGAGGCUCGAAAGCAUGGGUAGCAAACAGGAUUAGAUACCCUGGUAGUCCAUGCCGUAAACGAUGAUUACUAGGUGUGGGAGGAUUGACCCCUUCCGUGCCGCAGUUAACACAAUAAGUAAUCCACCUGGGGAGUACGACCGCAAGGUUGAAACUCAAAGGAAUUGACGGGGGCCC